GGGGUUUCGGGUUUCGGGUUUGGGGUUUCGGGUUUCGGGUUUCGGGUUUCGGGGUUGGGGUUUCGGGUUUCGGGUUUCGGAUUCUAGGGAUUUAAACAUAACACUCGUUAAUUCCACGUAAGCACAAAUCAUCGUAAAGUCCUUGUAGGGUGAAAUCGUCGUAAAUACCACGUAGGAUGAAAUCGUCGUAAAUACCACGUAAAAGGAUUUAAACAAAACACUCGUUAAUUCCACGUAAGCAGAAAUCGUCGUAAAGACCACGUAAAAGGAUUUAAACAUAAAACCCGUUAAUUCCACGUAAGUACAAAUCGUCGUAAAUAUCUCGUUGUGUAAAAACUAGAAAAAAAAGGAAAAGGAGAGAAAUACCAGAUUAACAUGUGGCAAGACUUCCAGCAAUUAUAAUACGUAAGUCUCGCCCACAUGAAUUCUAAUAUCUUCUCCUUUUCCUAUUUUAUUCAGAUAUUUAUAAUUUGAAUAGGAUUUUGCUGAGGAAUGUGAUUUGAGAUAAGAUGUGUUUUGGGAGUUUGUGUGUGGUUUGAGAAUGAGAGUUGUGGGUAUAUUUAUAGGAAAGCAAGCCUUGUUAAUUCCUCGUAAGCUAAAUCGUCGUUAAUACCUCGUAUAAAAAAACACGGGCCUUUGUGAUUCCUCGCAAUUUCCUCGUAAAAAAAACACGGGCCUUUGUAACUGCUUGCUAUUUCGUCGUAAA
This 706-nucleotide long non-coding RNA is filed under the name Brassica napus (rape). Its description in RNAcentral is "long non-coding RNA (BNAP_LNC012462)". Lineage: Eukaryota; Viridiplantae; Streptophyta; Magnoliopsida; Brassicales; Brassicaceae. The record is from RNAcentral.